Non-coding RNA from Mycena maculata, 106 nucleotides. The record is from the annotation of a GenBank genome assembly. Lineage: Eukaryota; Fungi; Basidiomycota; Agaricomycetes; Agaricales; Mycenaceae.
GGGCAAGUAGUGUAGUUGGUUAUCGCGCCCGCUUCGCAUUUCCGUUGUGGUUCUGAACCCAUGACCUGUGUGCGGGAGGUGCUGGGUUCAAUUCCCAGCUUGUCCA